This 260-nucleotide ribosomal RNA is filed under the name uncultured bacterium. Its description in RNAcentral is "partial 16S ribosomal RNA". It matches the Rfam family "Bacterial small subunit ribosomal RNA", at positions 1232 to 1500 of the family's 1533-position model. The record is from RNAcentral.
GGCAGGUACAGAGGGAUGCUACCGGGCGACCGGAUGCGGAUCUCGAAAGCCUGUCCCAGUUCGGACUGGAGUCUGCAACCCGACUCCACGAAGUUGGAUUCGCUAGUAAUCGCGCAUCAGCCAUGGCGCGGUGAAUACGUUCCCGGGCCUUGUACACACCGCCCGUCAAGCCAUGGGAGCCGGGGGCGCCUGAAGUCCGGGACCGCGAGGACCGGCCUAGGGCGAAACUGGUAACUGGGGCUAAGUCGUAACAAGGUACC